GCGAAAUUAGCUCAUUUGGAUAGAGCGGCUCCCUCCGGAGGAGCAGGCGGCAGGUUCGAAUCCUGUAUUUCGCG
Molecule: transfer RNA, 74 nt
Filed under: Treponema sp. CETP13
Lineage: Bacteria; Pseudomonadati; Spirochaetota; Spirochaetia; Treponematales; Treponemataceae
Description: tRNA-Arg
Rfam family: tRNA
About the family: Transfer RNA (tRNA) molecules are approximately 80 nucleotides in length. Their secondary structure includes four short double-helical elements and three loops (D, anti-codon, and T loops).
Source: RNAcentral